This 184-nucleotide non-coding RNA is filed under the name unclassified sequences. RNAcentral's name for it is "EGFOA RNA". It matches the Rfam family "EGFOA RNA". The record is from Rfam by way of RNAcentral.
CAGCUCCCAGACCGAGGGGGAGUGACUUCUCCCCCAAAGCCCUUGCAGGGUUCAUCGCUGCGAGGGGAUACAGACCGUCCUGUGAUGCCCGUUGAUGGCGGGCAGUUGAGGCACGGAAUCCAAGCAUUUGCUGGCGUGGUAAAGGCAGACCUGGGCACGUUCACUUUUUGUGACAAGGAUUCCG